This 254-nucleotide ribosomal RNA is filed under the name uncultured bacterium. Its description in RNAcentral is "partial 16S ribosomal RNA". It matches the Rfam family "Bacterial small subunit ribosomal RNA", at positions 524 to 776 of the family's 1533-position model. The record is from RNAcentral.
UACGUAGGGUGCGAGCGUUGUCCGGAAUUAUUGGGCGUAAAGAGCUCGUAGGCGGUGUGUCACGUCGGCCGUGAAAACCUGCAGCUUAACUGUGGGCGUGCGGUCGAUACGGGCAUCACUGGAGUUCGGCAGGGGAGACUGGAAUUCCUGGUGUAGCGGUGAAAUGCGCAGAUAUCAGGAGGAACACCGGUGGCGAAGGCGGAUCUCUGGGCCUUACCUGACGCUGAGGUGCGAAAGCGUGGGGAGCAAACAGG